Molecule: ribosomal RNA, 311 nt
Filed under: Escherichia coli
Lineage: Bacteria; Pseudomonadati; Pseudomonadota; Gammaproteobacteria; Enterobacterales; Enterobacteriaceae
Description: partial 23S ribosomal RNA
Rfam family: Bacterial large subunit ribosomal RNA
Source: RNAcentral
GGUCCCUAUCUGGCGUGGGAGCGGGAGAACUGAGGGGGGCGUAUCCGAGUANRGAGAGGAYMGGAGYGGACGCAUCACKGGUGUUAGGGUUGUCAUGCCAAUKGCACKGCCCGGUAGSUAAAUGCGGAAGAGAUAAGUGCUGAAAGCAKCUAAGCACGAAACUUGCCCCGAGAKGAGUUCUCCCUGACUCCUUGAGAGUCCUGAAGGAACGUUGAAGACGACGACGUUGAUAGGCCGGGUGUGUAAGCGCAGCGAUGCGUUGAGCUAACCGGUACUAAUGAACCGUGAGGCUUAACCUUACAACGCCGAAG